CCUACGGGUGGCUGCAGUGGGGAAUAUUGGACAAUGGGGGGAACCCUGAUCCAGCCAUGCCGCGUGUGUGAAGAAGGCCCUCGGGUUGUAAAGCACUUUCAGUGAGGAAGAACGCCUGGUGGUUAAUACCCAUCAGGAAAGACAUCACUCACAGAAGAAGCACCGGCUAACUCCGUGCCAGCAGCCGCGGUAAUACGGAGGGUGCGAGCGUUAAUCGGAAUUACUGGGCGUAAAGCGCGCGUAGGUGGCUUGAUAAGCCGGUUGUGAAAGCCCCGGGCUCAACCUGGGAACGGCAUCCGGAACUGUCAAGCUAGAGUGCAGGAGAGGAAGGUAGAAUUCCCGGUGUAGCGGUGAAAUGCGUAGAGAUCGGGAGGAGUACCAGUGGCGAAGGCGGCCUUCUGGACUGACACUGACACUGAGGUGCGAAAGCGUGGGUAGCAAACAGGAUUAGAUACCCUAGUAGUC
This 465-nucleotide ribosomal RNA is filed under the name Vreelandella stevensii. Its description in RNAcentral is "partial 16S ribosomal RNA". It matches the Rfam family "Bacterial small subunit ribosomal RNA", at positions 338 to 795 of the family's 1533-position model. The record is from RNAcentral. Lineage: Bacteria; Pseudomonadati; Pseudomonadota; Gammaproteobacteria; Oceanospirillales; Halomonadaceae.